This 491-nucleotide ribosomal RNA is filed under the name uncultured bacterium. RNAcentral describes it as "partial 16S ribosomal RNA". It matches the Rfam family "Bacterial small subunit ribosomal RNA", at positions 29 to 506 of the family's 1533-position model. The record is from RNAcentral.
AGUGAACGCUGGCGGUAGGCCUAACACAUGCAAGUCGAACGGCAGCACAGUAAGAGCUUGCUCUUACGGGUGGCGAGUGGCGGACGGGUGAGGAAUACAUCGGAAUCUACUUUUUCGUGGGGGAUAACGUAGGGAAACUUACGCUAAUACCGCAUACGACCUACGGGUGAAAGCAGGGGAUCUUCGGACCUUGCGCGAUUGAAUGAGCCGAUGUCGGAUUAGCUAGUUGGCGGGGUAAAGGCCCACCAAGGCGACGAUCCGUAGCUGGUCUGAGAGGAUGAUCGGCCACACUGGACCUGAGACACGGUCCAGACUCCGACGGGAGGCAGCAGUGGGGAUUAUUGGACAAUGGGCGCAAGCCUGAGCCAGCCAUACCGCGUGGGUGAAGAAGGCCUUCGGGUUGUAAAGCCCUUUUGUUGGGAAAGAAAAGCAGCAGGUUAAUACCCCGCUAUUCUGACGGUACCCAAAGAAUAAGCACCGGCUAACUUCGU